This 1464-nucleotide long non-coding RNA is filed under the name Anas platyrhynchos platyrhynchos (common mallard). RNAcentral describes it as "lncRNA (ENSAPLG00000030682.1)". The record is from RNAcentral. Lineage: Eukaryota; Metazoa; Chordata; Aves; Anseriformes; Anatidae.
AUGCAGCACCAGCAGCAGCAGCACCAGGAGCAGGAGGAGCAGCAGCAUCAGGAGCAUCAGCACCAGCAGCAGCACCAGGAGCAGCAGCAGCAGCAGCAGCAGUGCCGCCUGGGUUUUCGGGCGGGCUUUUCCUCCCGCUUCUGCCCGCUAGGUGGCUGCGUGCUGGGAGGAGAGCCCGGAGCGGGGAGCGAGGGGAGAAGAGGGGCGAGCAGGAAAAAAAAAAAAAAAAAAAGGGAGGAAAAAAAAAAAAAAAACAAGCUGCUGAAAUUUAAGCAGGGGAGGGAGCGGCAGCCAGGCAGUGCCGGGGUCGCUCCGCUCCGCCGCAGCAGGCAGCGGGGCUGCCGGCGCCAGGCCGAGCCCGGGGACCCCUCCGGAGCGGGGGCUCCCCAAAUUCCCACCCGACGGCGGCGGCAGGAGGAGCCGGCCCGGCCCGGUGAGUGCCUCCAGCACCGCGGACAGCUCCGCACCCGCACCCCGCGCUCCGCACCCCGCGCCCCGCAUCCCCCGCGCUGCCCGGCCCCCGCCGCCCCUGCACCCCCCCCGACCACCGCAUCGCCCCCAGCCCAGCGCCCCACAUCGCCCCCCAGGCUCGGAGGGAGGCGGCGGGGGGACGGAGCCCGGCCGGGGAGGGGGGGCGGGGGGCGCAGUUUUUUUGGGGGGAGGGAGGGAUGCGCGGCGGGGAAAGGCGGUGGGGGAGAGGGUCGGGGGGUCGGGGGGGUGCGGCAAAAGCCGCCCGCACUUUCUGCGAGUUCCCUUCGCUGCUGGAAGGAGGUUGAGGAAAUUUGGCUCUCGGCACCUGCGUCACACGGCGAGAGGAGGCAGCGGGGGGGGGGCUGCAUCUCGCUGCGUCCUGCGGGCAGCGCCGGGGACACCUCGCUGCCCCCCCGCUCCGUGCUCCUUGUGCCUCCUUGUGCCUCCUUGUGCCUCCUUGUGCCUUGUCCCCACACCCCUUCCCUCCAGCCCACGGCUCCCCUUCCCACGGGGACCCCUCGCAGGCGGCAGCCCCGGCUCCGGGCGGGCUGGGUGGGGGCAGCCCCAGCCCCGAGGCCACCCGGGCCCCGCCGAGCAGCGGGGGCUGCCCAAAGCCCGGCUCUCUCUGGUCGCGUUCAAAGUUUGAACGAGGUUUCUUUUUUUUUUUUUUUUUUUUCUUUUUCCUCCUUCUCUUGCUUGCUCGGGAAUAGCUCGGAGGAGCCCCGCGCGUGGCUGCGUUUUGGGGUGAAAGCUGGGGGGUUUGGGGCGGAACCCGGAGGGUCUGAACGCCAGCCCUGUCAUUUCGUGGAGCCGGAGAGAAAACAAAAACGGAGGAAAGGGCCCCGCUGGCACCACCACACGCCGGAUCUCGGCGGCCUCUUUCCUCCAUCAGGAGCUGGGGCUGGAGCAUCCCUGCCGAGCCGCUCCCCGGGGAGCCCGGCGCCCCGAGCAGCCGGGGAAGGAGAGGCACGGCCGUGCCCCAGGCAGGGAUGA